ACUCAAAAGAGGUGCAUGCUGACAAGUGGAUAUGAGUGUUGAGAGAUGGGCCUGAAUCAAGUUGCAGCCCCAUUCUUUAUUGAUUAUGCUUUCGAUUUUCCAUUACAGGAAGGAUUUCCUUUUGAUUGACAUUUUCAAUUGGGAACUGGGGUUUUGUGGACCUUGUGGUGGUUCAGUUAUUACCCAGUGAUUUACUUUGUUCUCAAUGUUAGUUUUCAUGAAUAAUGACUUGCUGGUGGGAACUGUUGGGUUUCUGAGAAUUGUUUGAAUUUCAGAUACUUGACUCUGAAAGCUGGUUUUAUUUUAAUAGGGGUAAUGUCUUCAUAUUGGAUCUUUCAUCAGCUACUUUUGCCAGCUUCUAAUUUUUCAAAAUAUUUGAUUUCUGUGGCCAAGAAUGUUAAAUAAUAUCAAUAUUGAGGUGCUUUUACAUGUGUGGUCGUUUGUUUUGUGCAAUCAACAGGUGACGUCUUCUCUGGGGUUGGCCCAAUAGCUAUCUCAGCAGCAAAGAAAGUAAAGCGUGUGUAUGCUAAUGACUUAAACCCUUAUGCAAUUGAAUACCUGGAAAGCAAUAGUGUUCUCAACAAACUUGAGAGGAAGAUCAAGGUAUGAAUAUGUUCAUUUUCUUGCAAGGGCCAUUCCCUAGUAUCUAUUUUCUAUUCUGUUAGUUGAAAGAAGAAUAAUAAGAACAAACUAAGUCCAUUUAUUUUUCCGUGAUUACCAUCAUCAAAUUUUUAGUAGGGCGAAGUUCUUGUGGUGCCUGAAUAAUGGAGAUGGUGGCAUGAACAUAACUCCUUUUUCAAAACAUUUUUUUAAUCGGCAUAAGUCCUCUGGAACAUUCAACACUAGUGGGGAUUGGCUUCUACCGAAAUGCUAAUUUUUAAAAUUUUGAUAACUGAGAAGCAUUGUGCAUCAUGAGUUUGUUUGAGUUCAAGCAUCAUGGACAAAAAUAUGAAAAAGGAAUAGUUGUGUCACUGGAAUGUGGUGGAAUAUUCUUGAGUUCUUAAUAUGCAUGUACAUCAAACUGUGAACUUAAAGUUGUAAUAUUAGGGUUUUAGAGAGUUUCCUUCUUGAUGGAAAAUCACUUUUCUCUGUUGCUUUCUAGGUAUUUAACAUGGAUGGAAGGAGGUUC
This 1129-nucleotide long non-coding RNA is filed under the name Vitis vinifera (wine grape). Its description in RNAcentral is "long non-coding RNA (VVIN_LNC006433)". The record is from RNAcentral. Lineage: Eukaryota; Viridiplantae; Streptophyta; Magnoliopsida; Vitales; Vitaceae.